ACCUUCGUAGUGUAGUGGUCAGCACACUCGGCGCGUAACCAACAGGUCCGUGGUUCGAUUCUCGGCGAAGGCG
This 73-nucleotide transfer RNA is filed under the name Stegodyphus mimosarum. It matches the Rfam family "tRNA". Rfam says of the family: Transfer RNA (tRNA) molecules are approximately 80 nucleotides in length. Their secondary structure includes four short double-helical elements and three loops (D, anti-codon, and T loops). The record is from Rfam by way of RNAcentral. Lineage: Eukaryota; Metazoa; Arthropoda; Arachnida; Araneae; Eresidae.